RNAcentral lists this ribosomal RNA (312 nucleotides) under uncultured Glomeromycotina. RNAcentral describes it as "LSU rRNA". Lineage: Eukaryota; Fungi; Glomeromycota. The record is from RNAcentral.
UUGAAAGGGAAACGAUUGAAGUCAGUCAUGCUGGUGGGAAUCAACUUAGGGGAAACUCUAGGUGCACUUCUUCGCUUGGCAGGUUAACGUCGAUUUUGAAUGUCAUAAAAUAAUUGGGGGAAGGUAGCUCCUUCGGGAGUGUUAUAGCCCUUGAUAGAUGUGAUGUUUGGGGUCGAGGAUUGCAACGGAUACCCUUCGGGGCUAGCCGCCUGAUCUCUAAUUGGUGUUGGGUUACGGAUAGCAUGCUGACCGUGAUCUAAUUACUGGUUAAAAGGUUAGAGUAUGCAUAAAUUCGUUAAGGAUGUUGACGUA